Molecule: ribosomal RNA, 1386 nt
Filed under: Herminiimonas glaciei
Lineage: Bacteria; Pseudomonadati; Pseudomonadota; Betaproteobacteria; Burkholderiales; Oxalobacteraceae
Description: 16S ribosomal RNA
Rfam family: Bacterial small subunit ribosomal RNA
Source: RNAcentral
ACGGCGCACGGGUGCUUGCACCUGGUGGCGAGUGGCGAACGGGUGAGUAAUAUAUCGGAACGUACCCUAGAGUGGGGGAUAACGCAGCGAAAGUUGCGCUAAUACCGCAUACGAUCUACGGAUGAAAGUGGGGGAUCGCAAGACCUCAUGCUCAUGGAGCGGCCGAUAUCUGAUUAGCUAGUUGGUGGGGUAAAAGCCUACCAAGGCAUCGAUCAGUAGCUGGUCUGAGAGGACGACCAGCCACACUGGAACUGAGACACGGUCCAGACUCCUACGGGAGGCAGCAGUGGGGAAUUUUGGACAAUGGGCGCAAGCCUGAUCCAGCAAUGCCGCGUGAGUGAAGAAGGCCUUCGGGUUGUAAAGCUCUUUUGUCAGGGAAGAAACGGUGAGGGCUAAUAUCCUUUGCUAAUGACGGUACCUGAAGAAUAAGCACCGGCUAACUACGUGCCAGCAGCCGCGGUAAUACGUAGGGUGCAAGCGUUAAUCGGAAUUACUGGGCGUAAAGCGUGCGCAGGCGGUUAUGUAAGUCAGAUGUGAAAUCCCCGGGCUCAACCUGGGAAUGGCAUUUGAGACUGCAUGGCUAGAGUGUGUCAGAGGGGGGUAGAAUUCCACGUGUAGCAGUGAAAUGCGUAGAGAUGUGGAGGAAUACCGAUGGCGAAGGCAGCCCCCUGGGAUAACACUGACGCUCAUGCACGAAAGCGUGGGGAGCAAACAGGAUUAGAUACCCUGGUAGUCCACGCCCUAAACGAUGUCUACUAGUUGUCGGGACUUAAUUGUCUUGGUAACGCAGCUAACGCGUGAAGUAGACCGCCUGGGGAGUACGGUCGCAAGAUUAAAACUCAAAGGAAUUGACGGGGACCCGCACAAGCGGUGGAUGAUGUGGAUUAAUUCGAUGCAACGCGAAAAACCUUACCUACCCUUGACAUGUACGGAACCUCUGAGAGAUUAGAGGGUGCUCGAAAGAGAGCCGUAACACAGGUGCUGCAUGGCUGUCGUCAGCUCGUGUCGUGAGAUGUUGGGUUAAGUCCCGCAACGAGCGCAACCCUUGUCAUUAGUUGCUACGAAAGGGCACUCUAAUGAGACUGCCGGUGACAAACCGGAGGAAGGUGGGGAUGACGUCAAGUCCUCAUGGCCCUUAUGGGUAGGGCUUCACACGUCAUACAAUGGUACAUACAGAGGGCCGCCAACCCGCGAGGGGGAGCUAAUCCCAGAAAGUGUAUCGUAGUCCGGAUUGUAGUCUGCAACUCGACUACAUGAAGUUGGAAUCGCUAGUAAUCGCGGAUCAGCAUGUCGCGGUGAAUACGUUCCCGGGUCUUGUACACACCGCCCGUCACACCAUGGGAGCGGGUUUCACCAGAAGUAGGUAGCCUAACCGCAAGGAGGGCG